UGAAUUUUGGGGUAUGACACUCUUCAAACCUUUUUUCAAUGUCACUAUGGAGUUGUGAGAGAGUUACUUCCAACUCCUUGGCACGGGUUUGCUCGUCCUUCAACUCUUUCUGACAUUUCUCCAAUUGGUCUUGCAGAGUCUUGAUCUGGACUUGGUAGUCUAUCUCCAGUUUGCAUGCUCGGUAUUGGGCUUCAGCUAAU
RNAcentral lists this long non-coding RNA (200 nucleotides) under Lathyrus oleraceus (garden pea). RNAcentral describes it as "Pisum sativum (pea) long non-coding RNA (PSAT_LNC015480)". Lineage: Eukaryota; Viridiplantae; Streptophyta; Magnoliopsida; Fabales; Fabaceae. The record is from RNAcentral.